GACGAACGCUGGCGGCGUGCCUAAUACAUGCAAGUAGAACGCUGAAGAGAGGAGCUUGCUCUUCUUGGAUGAGUUGCGAACGGGUGAGUAACGCGUAGGUAACCUGCCUUGUAGCGGGGGAUAACUAUUGGAAACGAUAGCUAAUACCGCAUAACAAUGGAUGACACAGGUCAUUUAUUUGAAAGGGGCAAUUGCUCCACUACAAGAUGGACCUGCGUUGUAUUAGCUAGUAGGUGAGGUAAAGGCUCACCUAGGCGACGAUACAUAGCCGACCUGAGAGGGUGGGUCGCCGCCCUGGGACGGGGACCCGGCACAUACGCCCUCGGGAAGGACCCGGAGGGCAACUUCGGCCAUUGGGGCAACCCUGACCGCGCAACGCCGCGUGAGUGAAGAAGGUUUUCGGGUCGUAAAGCUCUGUUGUAAGUCAAGAACGGGUGUGAGAGUGGAAAGUUCACACUGUGACGGUAGCUUACCAGAAAGCGCCGGCUAACUACGUG
Molecule: ribosomal RNA, 497 nt
Filed under: uncultured bacterium
Lineage: Bacteria
Description: partial 16S ribosomal RNA
Rfam family: Bacterial small subunit ribosomal RNA
Source: RNAcentral